Molecule: ribosomal RNA, 472 nt
Filed under: uncultured bacterium
Lineage: Bacteria
Description: bacterial SSU rRNA
Rfam family: Bacterial small subunit ribosomal RNA
Source: RNAcentral
CUACGCACUCCUACGGGAGGCAGCAGUGGGGAAUAGUUGCACAAUGGGCGCAAGCCUGAUGCAGCCAUGCCGCGUGUAUGAAGAAGGCCUUCGGGUUGUAAAGUACUUUCAGCAGUGAGGAAGGUGGGUAUGUUAAUAGCAUAUUCAUUUGACGUUAGCUGCAGAAGAAGCACCGGCUAACUCCGUGCCAGCAGCCGCGGUAAUACGGAGGGUGCGAGCGUUAAUCGGAAUUACUGGGCGUAAAGCGCAUGCAGGUGGUUUGUUAAGUCAGAUGUGAAAGCCCGGGGCUCAACCUCGGAAUUGCAUUUGAAACUGGCAAACUAGAGUACUGUAGAGGGGGUAGAAUUUCAGGUGUAGCGGUGAAAUGCGUAGAGAUCUGAAGGAAUACCGGUGGCGAAGGCGGCCCCCUGGACAGAUACUGACACUCAGAUGCGAAAGCGUGGGGAGCAAACAGGAUUAGAUACCCUGGUAG